GCGCCUAUAGCUCAAUGGUAGAGCAUUCGCCUUUUAAGCGAUCGACCAUGGUCCGAUUCCAUGUAGGC
This 68-nucleotide transfer RNA is filed under the name Candidatus Zambryskibacteria bacterium RIFCSPLOWO2_12_FULL_39_45. Its description in RNAcentral is "tRNA-Lys". It matches the Rfam family "tRNA". Rfam says of the family: Transfer RNA (tRNA) molecules are approximately 80 nucleotides in length. Lineage: Bacteria; Candidatus Zambryskiibacteriota. The record is from RNAcentral.